GUCGUCACAGCAAACACUUCCACAGAGUCUCGGAAUGUUUUAUAAACCAGUCAUGCAGGAACACGUGCUGUGGUGUAACAUGCUGCCCCCAAAUUAGAGAAUGCUCAGCUUCUGUCCAGCUUGCCUAGCAUCUGAAAUAAUGAGAGUGGCAAGGCUCGUAAGAGAAACGGAAACACAAGAAACAUAUUAAGACCUGGCACACAAAUAAAUAAAGUUUAACUGCACCAAUGUCAUCUCACAGUGGG
RNAcentral lists this long non-coding RNA (245 nucleotides) under Homo sapiens (human). RNAcentral describes it as "HSALNT0183709". The record is from RNAcentral. Lineage: Eukaryota; Metazoa; Chordata; Mammalia; Primates; Hominidae.